Molecule: ribosomal RNA, 520 nt
Filed under: uncultured bacterium
Lineage: Bacteria
Description: partial 16S ribosomal RNA
Rfam family: Bacterial small subunit ribosomal RNA
Source: RNAcentral
GACGAACGCUGGCGGCGUGCCUAAUACAUGCAAGUCGAACGCACUCUCGUUUAGAUUGAAGGAGUUUGCUCCUGAUUGAUCAACAUUUGAGUGAGUGGCGGACGGGUGAGUAACACGUGGGUAACCUGCCCUAAAGUGGGGGAUAACAUUUGGAAACAGAUGCUAAUACCGCACAAAACCUAACACCGCAUGGUGUAGGGUUGAAAGAUGGUUUCGGCUAUCACUUUAGGAUGGACCCGCGGUGCAUUAGUUAGUUGGUGAGGUAAAGGCUUACCAAGACCGUGAUGCAUAGCCGACCUGAGAGGGUAAUCGGCCACACUGGAACUGAGACACGGCCCAGACUCCUACGGGAGGCAGCAGUAGGGAAUCUUCCACAAUGGGCGAAAGUCUGAUGGAGCAACGCCGCGUGAGUGAAGAAGGUUUUCGGAUCGUAAAACUCUGUUGUUGGAGAAGAAUGUAUCUGAUAGUAACUGAUCAGGUAGUGACGGUAUCCAAUCAGAAAGCCACGGCUAACUACGUG